This 253-nucleotide ribosomal RNA is filed under the name uncultured bacterium. Its description in RNAcentral is "partial 16S ribosomal RNA". It matches the Rfam family "Bacterial small subunit ribosomal RNA", at positions 524 to 776 of the family's 1533-position model. The record is from RNAcentral.
UACGAAGGGGGCUAGCGUUGUUCGGAAUUACUGGGCGUAAAGCGCACGUAGGCGGGUUGUUAAGUCAGGGGUGAAAUCCUGGAGCUCAACUCCAGAACUGCCUUUGAUACUGGCAACCUAGAGACUGGAAGAGGUUAGUGGAAUUCCCAGUGUAGAGGUGAAAUUCGUAGAUAUUGGGAAGAACACCAGUGGCGAAGGCGGCUAACUGGUCCAGCACUGACGCUGAGGUGCGAAAGCCAGGGGAGCGAAUGGG